This 73-nucleotide transfer RNA is filed under the name Oribacterium sp. oral taxon 078 str. F0262. RNAcentral describes it as "tRNA-Gln". It matches the Rfam family "tRNA". Rfam says of the family: Transfer RNA (tRNA) molecules are approximately 80 nucleotides in length. Their secondary structure includes four short double-helical elements and three loops (D, anti-codon, and T loops). Lineage: Bacteria; Bacillati; Bacillota; Clostridia; Lachnospirales; Lachnospiraceae. The record is from RNAcentral. RNAcentral also lists the same sequence under 2 other names.
GGGGCUAUCGCCAAGCGGUAAGGCACAGGCCUUUGACGCCUGCAUUUCGUUGGUUCGAAUCCAACUGGCCCUG